CUGAUAGUUUCUCGGUUUGGAUUUCAGUAUCGCAUAGGAAGUUGUCGCGAGUGCUUGCUUGGUGGAGCUUGGUCGAAUAGCUAAAGUAGAAUGCAAAAGGCAAACGUUUGCCGCAACCAACGCACAAAUCACUCGCCCGCAAUACCAAUACAAUUUCGAUAAGAAAAAAAUACAUAGUUUUCGCUACCGCAGAGCCAACUACAAAUAAACAAACAACAAACUGAUGCAAUGCAAUUUAUAAAAAAAAUGAAUUAAUACAAAAAAUAAAUAAAAAAUAAUAAUAUUUUCGAGCAAGAAAACUUAAUCGCACAGGCAUGCAAUUUAUGCAAUUUACUAAAUAGUGCUACGAAAAAUCCAAAACGUGGAUGUGAAAGCCUUUGACACCUCAUCCUAAACGAAAUAAAACAAAACGGCAAUUUCGUGUGCGCCCCAAACUUAUUUUACCAAUUAAAAGGCAUAAAUGUUGCAGUGAAAAUAUUUUAACCGUUUACAUUUAGACCUACAUACUCAUGUCCAGCAUUACAUAGUGCUUUGGUCAUAUCCAAAAUGCGCGGGUGCAAAAAAAUUCUUUAAUUUAAGCAGACAGCGUGUUACUCUCUGUGGCUUUACGGUUGUGUGUGUGUUAUUGUUCAAAAAAUGGCAAUGAAAAGAAACAACAGCGCGCUCCAACACCUUGCAAGAUUCGCCGGUCUUCUUAGAUAACUCCGACACCUUGCAAGAUUCGCCGGUCUUCUUAGAUAACUCCAGGGCCUUCGAUAGUGGGUUGUGUGCGCGGCUUUAGAUCAAACAAGAGAUGAGAGUUUGAAUAAAAACGAAACCAAAUUUUAGACAACUAACUGCUCUCAAUAGAAAACCAGUGUCAAUAAGGGCCUCUCAAUAGAAAGUUAGUGUCAUCAGUCUUCGUAGUUAUUUCCAGCGGCUUGGCGGAUAGUUUGUUUAUACUAAACUUCUAUAGUGGAUUGUGUGCGAGGCUUUAGAUAAAAACGAGAGACGGGAGACCAAAUUUUAGUACAACUGACGCCUCUCAAUUGAAAACCUGUGUGGAUAAGAGCCUCUCAAUAGAAAGUUAGCGUCAUGAGCCGUUCUCGGAUACUGCUAUGAACGAACCUCAAUAGAAAACCUGUGUGGAUAAGAGCCUCUCAAUAGAAAGUUAGUGUCAUGAACCGUUCUCGGAUAAUUCUAUGAACGAAAUUCCAAUAGCAAUUGCAAAGCUGUUAGCGGCAUACUAACUUUAUUUCAAAUGACAUUAGCGAGUUUAUGACUUCGUUAUCAUUGACAGUCGGUAUCUUUGCUAUUGUUGAUAUUUUGGUGAUCCUCCGUUUUAGUUUUUGUUUUAAGGUUAUUGUUUCAAAUAAAAAGAUAUCGAAUGCAAUGCAGCUUAGGGUGAAAACGUAUAAGCAUAGCUUAGUUCUAGAAUCCUUGCAAAUAAGACUUCCAAAAACUGAUAUAUCGAGCUCUCUUUCUAUAUUUUCUAGAAUCCUCGUAAAAAUAAUAAUUUUAAAAACUGAUACAACGAUCUCUUUUUGAUAUUUUUCUACUUGCAGUCCUUUCAAUAACUUUCAAAAAGUGUCUUCGGCUACUGAAAAAUACUUCGUUUUCUGCGUCAAAGUUGCCACUGUAGUAAUAUAGUCAUAUUUUCUUCAUUAUAUACAAAUCAGUCCUUCAUAUGCAAUAUUUUUUUUUUUGUUAUUUACUUCUAAUAUGUGCACCCUAUUACCCUAAAUAAACGCGCCUACCCGAGUCCAACGAAUUUUUACUCUCUUCCUCAAUUGAAUUCAUUUUCUCCCAUUACACAUUUCGAUUUCCAUCAAUCAAUGCUGAUCGAGUUCAAUAAAAUGCCAGCAAGUUAGAUUCAAUGUAUCGUGAAAUUUUCUGCUAUUACCAACCCUCCGUCUACUUCUGACCUAACCAUAAGGCUUUCAACAAGUAGUGGCCAUUGUUUAUUUGAUUUUAUUUGUUGAAAUUAUAGCAUGCCCCGUGAGAGUAUUCUGUGCACUGCAGCUUAGUUGUCAUCUCAGUCCCUAUACGAGUACAUACUACAAGUAUAUACAUAUGUGUGUAUAUAAAUCAUUUAAUUCACAAUAUCUGUUGCUAAUGGAAGCGGGAAAAGUAUAGCUUUGACGUUGUCGGUGACUGCGACAGAAACGUUUCAAAAUUACCUCUAAUUGCGGUCACGUGUUUUCGAUUGCUGUAGCCGCGAUCUAACGAGUUGCAUAGAUCUGAAAAGCGCGAAAUACGAGUAGUGUUUUGCAAAGCGUACUCAAGGGAAGCUUUCAAUGUGCGUGUUUCGUAUGAAAGUGCUUAGAAAAGUUUGUCUGAAUUCUAUGUGCUCUGAACUAUUCACAAAACGAAUAGAUCAGAGUCGAAAAUUGUGCGCGGGUAUUUGUGUUUUCCAAGUACAUACAACGUAUGUUUACCUCAGAGAGUCUAACUUCUCAGCGGUGAAAGAACUUUUCAAAUUCGUCAGAUAGUUACGGAUCCUCUACAAUUCAAAAAAUAUAGACUCGUAUUUACAUAC
Bactrocera neohumeralis is the source of this 2518-nucleotide long non-coding RNA. RefSeq lists it as uncharacterized. The record is from RefSeq and is a predicted model, not a curated record. Lineage: Eukaryota; Metazoa; Arthropoda; Insecta; Diptera; Tephritidae. The transcript has 3 exons.